RNAcentral lists this ribosomal RNA (254 nucleotides) under uncultured bacterium. RNAcentral's name for it is "partial 16S ribosomal RNA". It matches the Rfam family "Bacterial small subunit ribosomal RNA", at positions 524 to 776 of the family's 1533-position model. The record is from RNAcentral.
UACGGAGGGUGCGAGCGUUGUCCGGAAUCAUUGGGCGUAAAGGGCGCGUAGGUGGCCCGGUCAGUCUUUGGUGAAAGCGCGGGGCUCAACCCUGCGUCGGCCAGGGAUACUGCCGCGGCUCGAGCACUGUAGAGGCAGGCGGAAUUCCGGGUGUAGCGGUGGAAUGCGUAGAGAUCCGGAGGAAGACCGGUGGCGAAGGCGGUCUGCUGGGCAGUUUCUGACACUGAGGCGCGACAGCGUGGGGAGCAAACAGG